RNAcentral lists this unclassified non-coding RNA (309 nucleotides) under uncultured fungus. RNAcentral's name for it is "partial contains 5.8S ribosomal RNA, internal transcribed spacer 2, and large subunit ribosomal RNA". The stretch from base 1 to 52 matches the Rfam family "5.8S ribosomal RNA", at positions 103 to 154 of the family's 154-position model. Lineage: Eukaryota; Fungi. The record is from RNAcentral.
AACGCACCUUGCGCUCCUUGGUAUUCCGAGGAGCAUGCCUGUUUGAGUGUCAUGUAUUACCUCAGCCCUCUUGGAUUUUUCUAAAAUACAAGGUAUGGGUCUGGAUUUGGAGGUUGCUGGGUCAGUUUCUGAACCAGCUCUUCUUAAAUUGAUCAGUGUGAAUGUUGCUAAAUGUUCUCCAGUGUAAUAAUUAUUUGCGCUGCUUGAGCUUUGGCAAAACAAUAUGUUCAUGCUUCUAACCGUCCUUCAAAGGACAAUAUAUCUUUUGCAUUUGACCUCAAAUCAGGUAGGACUACCCGCUGAACUUAA